Molecule: ribosomal RNA, 461 nt
Filed under: uncultured bacterium
Lineage: Bacteria
Description: SSU rRNA
Rfam family: Bacterial small subunit ribosomal RNA
Source: RNAcentral
AGAAUCAACGCUGGCGGCGUGCCUAACACAUGCAAGUCGAACGAGAAAGUGGAGCAAUCCAUGAGUAAAGUGGCGCACGGGUGAGUAACACGUGACUAACCUACCCUUGAGUGGGGGAUAAACCUAGAGAAAUCUGGGCUAAUACCGCAUAAUACCUUCGGGUCAAAGGAGCAAUUCGCUUAAGGAGGAGGUCGCGGCCGAUUAGUUAGUUGGCGGGGUAAUGGCCCACCAAGACUGUGAUCGGUAUCCGGCCUGAGAGGGCGCACGGACACACUGGAACUGAAACACGGUCCAGACUCCUACGGGAGGCAGCAGUGGGGAAUUUUGCGCAAUGGGGGAAACCCUGACGCAGCAACGCCGCGUGGAGGAUGAAGCCCCUUGGGGCGUAAACUCCUUUCGAUCGGGAAGAUAAUGACGGCACCGAGAGAAGAAGCCCCGGCUAACUUCGUGCCAGCAGCCGC